ACAAAAAAUACUUUUCUUAUAAUUCAAUAGUUAUAUUUUAACUUUAAAAUUACAAAUCAUUCUUACCUUUUCAUAAUUUACAUUUUUAUUAAUUAAAUAUUACUGUAUAUAAGCAUAAUAUUAUUGCCGUGCCACAACCUCGAUUCAAUUUCACCUACUGCUGGUGGUGGAGAGAUUCUACUGUAUAUCUGUCAUACCAUAUCAGUUAUUAACAGCCUAUUAUAUUAUUUAUUUUAAAUAAAAAAUAUUAUAAAAUUAUUUUUUUAACAAUUAUCACAGAAUGUGUAAAUUAAAAAAAUAAUUUAAUUAAUUAAUUAAUAACGUAGUAUCUACAAUGUAACUAAUACAUUUUAGAUUUUUUUUUCAUUGAUGGCAUGAGAAUUGCGACAGCAUAUACCUUCUCUCUCGGAAGAAUAAGGCUUAGUUUGGUAUUGAGGUGGAUCUAACGUUAUUAGAUAGAAUGGAGUUGAGAAAAAUAUGUAGGAAUAUGCUUCUACGUUUUUCGAUAGGAUCGUAGAAAAUAUAUCGUAACCUACUGACCACAAUAUACGGAACGUAAUAUUACGUACGGAAAUAAACAGAAUAUUUUUUUAUCGUUAUUUUUUAUCUCACGUAAUAUAAUUUUUCCGCAAUUUCAAACGAAACCUAACUAAUUACCGUGCACGUAACGCCAUCUUUCCGCAUUCCCAAAAUGAAGCCUAACUAAUUGCCGCAUAA
This 717-nucleotide long non-coding RNA is filed under the name Ananas comosus (pineapple). RNAcentral describes it as "long non-coding RNA (ACOM_LNC025181)". The record is from RNAcentral. Lineage: Eukaryota; Viridiplantae; Streptophyta; Magnoliopsida; Poales; Bromeliaceae.